RNAcentral lists this ribosomal RNA (744 nucleotides) under Staphylococcus sp. SMCC G902. Its description in RNAcentral is "bacterial SSU rRNA". It matches the Rfam family "Bacterial small subunit ribosomal RNA", at positions 21 to 747 of the family's 1533-position model. The record is from RNAcentral. Lineage: Bacteria; Bacillati; Bacillota; Bacilli; Caryophanales; Staphylococcaceae.
GGCUCAGGAUGAACGCUGGCGGCGUGCCUAAUACAUGCAAGUCGAGCGAACAGAUAAGGAGCUUGCUCCUUUGACGUUAGCGGCGGACGGGUGAGUAACACGUGGAUAACCUACCUAUAAGACUGGGAUAACUUCGGGAAACCGGAGCUAAUACCGGAUAAGAUUUUGAACCGCAUGGUUCAAUAGUGAAAGACGGCCUUGCUGUCACUUAUAGAUGGAUCCGCGCCGUAUUAGCUAGUUGGUAAGGUAACGGCUUACCAAGGCAACGAUACGUAGCCGACCUGAGAGGGUGAUCGGCCACACUGGAACUGAGACACGGUCCAGACUCCUACGGGAGGCAGCAGUAGGGAAUCUUCCGCAAUGGGCGAAAGCCUGACGGAGCAACGCCGCGUGAGUGAUGAAGGUCUUCGGAUCGUAAAACUCUGUUAUCAGGGAAGAACAAACGUGUAAGUAACUGUGCACGUCUUGACGGUACCUGAUCAGAAAGCCACGGCUAACUACGUGCCAGCAGCCGCGGUAAUACGUAGGUGGCAAGCGUUAUCCGGAAUUAUUGGGCGUAAAGCGCGCGUAGGCGGUUUUUUAAGUCUGAUGUGAAAGCCCACGGCUCAACCGUGGAGGGUCAUUGGAAACUGGAAAACUUGAGUGCAGAAGAGGAAAGUGGAAUUCCAUGUGUAGCGGUGAAAUGCGCAGAGAUAUGGAGGAACACCAGUGGCGAAGGCGACUUUCUGGUCUGUAACUGACGCU